AUAAAUUAUCCUUAGCCUUCAACAGUAUAACAACUGAUAGAAUAUAAUAGACAACAAGUUUUAGAUCAACAACUGCAGCGGAAUAAGCAAUCCAUUAGAAGAGUCAAGUAGAGCAUAAAAUCUACUAUCUUCUAUGAUUUAAAAAGUUUUUCAUCAACUUUAUCGCUGAGACUCAGCUUAAUAAAUAAAAUCGAAUCAUCCCUGCACCACGGCCAAGGAUAUUCAUGUAAUCAUCAAUGGUCAUGAUUAUACCGAAUAAUCCCUGGUCAUAAUCAUACCAACAACUGUCCAUCAAUGAACUACAGGCCAAUGAGGACUUUUACCACAUCAUUCGUCACAUUACGGUCAUGAUUAUACCGAAUAAUCCCUGGUCAUAAUCAUACCAAGUCCAUCUAUGCACGUAAGUCAAAGAUGACUUUAAUCACAAUAUAAGCAUGAGGAUGAUGACAAUGACAUAAUAAUUCAAUAAAACAAGUUCAAGGAUAAAUUUUAAAGAUUUAUAAUUUAAUUUAUCCAGAAAUCAAUAACGUCCAAAUUAUCAACAUGAUACUGCUUUGUAGAGUAAAAUUCAAGAAUAAUAUUCAUGUACCAAAAAUAAUUUAGACAGAAAAGAAAUAUAUUUUUCGGGUGAAUAGUACUUCAGGAAUAGUACCCCGUGAGUAGUACCCCAACACGAAAAGUGUCUCGAAUACCCGAGUGAAUAGUAACCCAUGAAUAGUAACUCAUGAAUAGUACUCCGGUACGAAAAGUACCCCGAAUACUCGAGUGAAUAAUACCAGAGUGAAUAGUAACUGGGUGAAUAGUAACUCGUGAAUAGUAACUCGUAAAAAAAAUAUCAAAGAAAAUGAUAUUCCAUGACAAGUACAAAAGAAUUGAUAUCUCAGACGAGUAUAAUAGAAUAUACGAAACUGCAAAUGGAUUUUCACUCGCCAUAUGGUAAUCCACGUAGACAAAUCAUUUCCAUAAUUUAAUAAGGAAUGAAUACGCAGGAUCUUUCACCAUGCAUGCGGUAGUCCACACAGACAGGUUAUUCCAACAGAAUAAUAAAGAAUGGAAUAAAAAAAGAAUUCACCAGGCAUGCGAGAGACCGCACAGACAGGAUAUUCUAAUAGAAUAAUAAAGAAUGGAACCAGGUCAUGCGUAAUUCGCACAGACAUGAUAUACCAACAGAAUAAUAAAGAACGGAACCAGGUCAUGCGUAAUCUGUACACACAGGAUAUUCUAACAGAAUAAUAAAGAAAGGAAUAACAAUAGAAUUCACCAGGCAUGCGAUAGACCGCACAGACAGAUUAUUCCAACAGAAUAAUAAAUAAUGGAAUAACGGAAAAAUUUUACCAUGUAUGCGGUACUUCGCAUAGAUAGGUUAUUCCAACAUAAUAAUAAAGAAUGGAAUAACAACCCUUACAAGUAUUGAAAGAAAAUAAUUCUCUUCAUGAAUACGAAAGAAUAAUACCCCUUAUCUCAAAAGAAGACUGGAUACUAGAAUAGUGAGGUAUCAGACUUCUCUUCUUCUUUCUCUCUAUAAUUUCUCUCUAUAAUAAUUGCUCUAUAGCUUUAGUGAAUUGGUGAGAAAUGAAAGAAGAAUGAGCUUCUAUUUAUAGAAAAAUAUAGUUUCGAUAAUUGCACGUUUUGGGGCUCGAAAUAUUACAGUAUAAUACCUUCAUCUUUUCCUUCAUUUUUAAUUUAGUCAUGCAAGUAUUAUCAAACUUGCACCACCUCCCCUAAUAGUAAAUCAUGUGAAUCAAUAGUAAAUCAUGUGACUCAAUAGUUCUAAACAUGUGAAAAAAUUAAUUAUAGUAUAGUACCUUCAACUAUACCUCCAUUUUUAAUUUAGUCAUGCAAGUAUUAUCAAUCUUGCACCAACUCCCCUAAUUGUAAAUGAAUUUGAAUCAAUAGUACACAUAUGUGAAUAAAUAAUUAUAAUCAUUUGAAUCAAUAGCAAUUAAUUGCUCAUUUAUCCGGUUAAUUACCCGAUUGGUCAAUAUAACCUCUAGACAUCAAUUAUUAUCGAAAUAAAUAUCNNNNNNNNNNNNNNNNNNNNNNNNNNNNNNNNNNNNNNNNNNNNNNNNNNNNNNNNNNNNNNNNNNNNNNNNNNNNNNNNNNNNNNNNNNNNNNNNNNNNNNNNNNNNNNNNNNNNNNNNNNNNNAACCUCUCCUUGACAGAACUUCUAGACAUUGUCAAUAUUGCAAAUAAUAAUAUGAAUAACUUUGUCGUCUCAAUUAUUGAUUUAAUAAUAUAACAUAUUAUGCAGAUGAUACUGUGAAAAUAAUUGAAUCAAUAAUAUGAGAGAUAUGAUGCAGCAAUUACUGUAGCAAUAAUUGAGUAUAACUGAUUGACUUCUUACGUAAGCAUCAAUAAUCAAUACCGUGUGCUACUAUACAACCACGCGUAUUACUGUAUUUUUACUACCGGAUAGUUCAACAGUUCUAACGGUAACACUUUCGCCGUUAUUUUUAUAAAAUAAUAAUUUUGUCGUUUUCUAACUACGACAAUACUUCUGUUGUGGGGUCCACCAAUGAUUGUGCCGCCGUACGAAUAUUCCCUGUUAAAACGAAUAUUCACCGACCAAUCGAAUAUUAUAUAACAACUUGUUUACUUUACAAAAUUUAUAAAUAUUACCCACAACUAUAACAUUAUAUCAAAUUCACACCAUAAUAUUCAAAAAAAUAUUUCGAGAAAUUUAAAUCUUUAUUCAUAAAAUUUGGGGUCUCACAACAAUGGCCUGUUAAGUUAACUCCAGGGAACUAUCCUUCAUGGAAAGCUCAGUUUGAGUCACUGCUUUUUGGCUACGAUUUACUCGGAUAUAUCGACGGAUUAAAGCCAUGUCCACCUGCUGAGUUGACAAGUCACUACUACAAAACAGUAAAUAGAUAACGCGUAAAAAACGUUGUGGUUUCUGUCAGAAAAACGUCGUGAUUAAGGGUGUCAUCUAUUUGACACCCUUAUACAACGUUUUUAAAACGUUGUAGUUAGACACAUUCUACAACGUUUUUUAAAAAAAACGUUGUAGAUUUAUUUUCCAUAAAUUAGUAGAUUCUUAAAAACGUUGUAGAAGGUAUGAUUCACUACAAAAAAAAAAUGGGCCUUUAGCAACAAUUUUUCGGGCAACGACUUUAUAAGUCGUUGCUAAAAGUAUAUGUUUAGCAAUGAAAGUUGUCUUUCGUUGCAGAUUGUGCCAGACUUUCACUUUUUGCAACAAAAUUCAUAAGUCGUUGCAAAAUUUCGUUGCUAAUUCAUUGGCGGGAAAAAAGUUUGUUAGAAAUUCGUUGCAAAAUUUUUGGCCACUUGAUUUCCCGUCAUCGUGGGCAAAGAAAGUUUUUUUGUUGCUAAAAAUGGGGCUCUAGCAACGAUUUUUUAGGCAACGACUUUAUAAGUCGUUGCUAAAAGUGUAUGUUUAGCAACGAAACUUGUCCUUCGUUGUAGAUUGUGUCAGGUUUCACUUUUUACAACGAAAUUCAUAAGUCGUUGCAAAAUUUGGAAACAAAAUUCGUUGCAAAAUUUCUAACCACUUGAUUUCUCCUCAUCAUAGGCAACAAAAGUUUUUUUGUUGCUAUAUUUCGUUACCUAAUAUGGAUCACAUUCAUUGGCAAUAAUUUUUAUUUUCGUUGCAUAUUUUAUACAACUUUUUGCAACGACUAUUAAAAUGUUGCCUUAAAUUAAGAUAAUUCCAAUAAGCAUAUUUUUGUAAGACCAUAUUCGGUAUUCGGAGAAUUGUCAAAAAAUAUUCGUAUUUAGUAUUUAAAAAUUAUGUCCAAAUGCGGGACAUAUUUGAACCUAUAACCUAUCAUUUGAAACUUUGGUCAUUUGACUGCUGGAGCAACACAAGUUAUUUGUUAAUAUCUUGCAAAGAUUAAUAUUUAUAUCAAAACAUAAGAUUUCCCCCAUAUAUUCCUUUCUUCUUCUUCACUACAUACCAUUAAUAUAAUCUCAGGAAGUUAUAUAAUAAUAAUAAUAAUAAUAAUAAUAAUAAUAAUAAAAUAAAUAAAUAAAUAAAUAAAUAAAAAUAAUAACACUAUAAUUUCUGCUUAUAUAUGUCAAAUACUUACAAAAUUAUGAUAUUUAUCUUACCUGCUCUUUAAUUUAUUUAUUUUGCCUUGGAAUAUAGUAUAAGUUAUUCUUUUCAAUUAUCUUCUUCUUUUGCAGCAAAUAAUUAAUGGGCGAUCGAACACUUUUUUGAUGGAAAUUGGUAAUGAAAUAAUUAAAUGACAUAUCGAUGAUCAUACAUGAUCAAUAUACAGAAGAUUAUAACGUAAAUUAAUAGCCAAGUUAAUUAAUUUGUUUUUUAAUAUUGGACAUUUUAAAAUAAAGAAUAAUUAAUGUUAUUGUUUCCUGAAAAUCUACUGCUUUUUUAUUUUGUAAAAAAAAAGAAUUGAUAUAAUAAUUAGCACUUGGGGAAAAAAGGGAAAAAAAAGAAAUCAAACAGGUCUUUCCAUACUAACGAUCUUAUAUAUCACAGAAUAAAACGACAAAUUAGUGUGUUAUUAUUAUAAGAUAAUAUAUUUGUAUUUCAUGCAUAAAUNNNNNNNNNNNNNNNNNNNNNNNNNNNNNNNNNNNNNNNNNNNNNNNNNNNNNNNNNNNNNNNNNNNNNNNNNNNNNNNNNNNNNNNNNNNNNNNNNNNNNNNNNNNNNNNNNNNNNNNNNNNNNNNNNNNNNNNNNNNNNNNNNNNNNAUAUUUAGUUUAAUGUGGAGAUUUAAGAUGGGUAUAUAUAUAUAUAUAUAUAUAUAUAUAUAUAUAUAUGGUAAUAGAAUUUAUCUAAUACACAAAAAAUAUAACAUAAGAAGCAAAAAUAUCACAACUAGGUUUUGAACCUAAGACCUAUGGGUUAUUGAUCCAUUAUGCCACCAUUGAGUCAUUUUAAUUUAUUAGUUAACUAAACUAACGCCAUAACUUGUAGUCUCUAAUAUUUUUAAAUUUAUUCUACUGAUAUGUAUAUAUAUAUAUACAUACAUAUUUUUUUCAAAAUUUCUUGUUAAACUAAAUAAAAUACUAAACAAAUCUCAACAUUAAACUAAAUAUAUAUAAAGUAACUAUGAAUAUUUAUAUAUAUAUAUAUAUAUAUAUAUGUAAACAAAUAUUCAUAUAAAUAUUUAUAAAUUUAUAAAUAAAUAUUUGUUUAUAAAUUUUAAAGAUAAAUUUAUAUGAAUAUUUGGAGAUAAAUUUAUAUAUAUAUAUAUAUAUUAAAAUAUUCAUAGUUACUUACGUUAUAUAAAUAUUCAUAGUUACUUUAUAUAUAUUUAGUUUAAUGUGGAGAUUUAAGAUGGGUAUCUAUGUAUAUAGAUGGUAAUAGAAUUUAUCUAAUACACAAAAAAUAUAACAUAAGAAGCAAAAAUAUCACAACUAAAUUUUGAACCUAAGACCUAUAGGUUAUUGGGUCAUUAAGUUACCACUGAGCCAUUUUAAUUUAUUAGUUAGUUAAACUAACGCCAUAACUUGUAGUCUCCAAUAUUUUUAAAUUUAUUGUACUAAUAUGUAUAUAUAUAUAUAUACACAUACAUAUUUAUAUAUAUAUAUAUAUGUAAAUAAAUAUUCAUAUAAAUAUUUAUAAAAAAUAUUCAAAUCUAAAUAUUAGAUGAAAUCCAAUGACAACCGAUGUACCCGUGCCAUCUAAUGUUGCGAUCAACGGUAUAGAUUAUGGUUGUUGAAAUAGUACCCGUGACAACCGAUUGCCAAGCAUGUUAGUUCCGGGCCUCCAACCCAAAUAAACACAACCUCAUUAAAUCUGAUUAUUAUAUUUAUGCUUCCAAUGUUUCCUACUUCUAGAUAGAAUUAGGAUAUACUUACAAGUACUCCCUCACUCCGAGAAUGAAAAUGAUGAUUGAUUUUAUGCGAAUUUAAAAAAAAUGUCAAAUGAUAAAAUUAUUCAUAUUUAAAUUCUCAUCUAAUUGCAUAUUUUUCUAUACAUGACUAGUGAUAUUAUAUAAAUAUUUAUAAAUAAUAAAAAUAUGACAUUUAAUACUAAAGAUAUUACGCAAAAAUUAUUGUAAAAAAAAUAAAUUAUUUAAUAUAAGUAAAUAUUUAACUUGAGAUUACAUAAAAUAAUAAGAACUUUUAUUCUUAGACGGAGGGAGUAACUUAAAUCAUGAACAUAUUUUUAAGUCCAAAAAUAAAACAUAAAAAGAAGAAUAGUAAUGAUAUACCCCUAGUUAUUCUUAGUUCUCCUUUUACUUUUUUCCCAAAUAUAUUAUAAAAUUAAAUUAUAAUACUAUUAGUUAUAAGAGAAAACAUAAAAGAUGAAAAAAAGUUUAUUAUGUUUUAUGAACUAAAACAGAAUAAAGUUAUUUAAAAAUGAUUUAUAAGUCAUUCAUAAUAAGUUAGUUUGACCCAUAUUAAUGUAAUAUCAAUUUUAUCCCUAUUUUAUUUAAAAAAAAAUUUUAAAAAAAUAAAUUUGUAAAAAAGAAGAGUAAGAUGCAACGUCACUUUAAUUGGCGUUAGACUUUUUAUUUUAUUUUUUUUAUAGCUGAAGUAUUAUAUACUCCUUCAUUUCCAACGUCGAUGACUGAGAAUAAACAUAAAAAAAUAUUGUUGUUUGUAAACAAGUACAAGAAAUCAAAGAAAUUAAAAAAAAAAAGAUUCCAACGUCAGUUAAAGUGAUGUUACAUCUUACUCUUCUUUUUUACAAAAUUGCUUUAUAAAUUUUUUUUAAAUAAGUUAUAAUGCCGGUUAGUUUGGCAUUGGAUCAUAUUUUUAUUUUUUUCAAUUUUUUUUAAAAAAAUAAAAUCAUUUUAAAAAAGUUAAGAUACUUUUUCUAAAAUUCAUUUUUUUAAAAAAAUAUUUUUUAAAGUGGGGUUAGUUGCCUUUCUGAUUUUUAGUCAAAAAAAAAAUCAAAAAAUUCAACGCCAUUUCAAAUGGCUUUCAAUAGUAUUUAUUUUUACAACGUUUUUUUAACAAAACGUUGUAGAUAUAUAUGAAAAAAUAUUAUGUAUUUAUAAGGGUAAUUUUUGAUUUUAAAUAAAUAAUUUUUUUAAAAAAAACGUUAUCUAUAUAAAAAAUACGGAGCAAAAAAUAAAAAAGCGAAACUUAAAAUUUUGAAAUUAAAACAGGCACCAUAAUUGUUUAGAUCUAUUUUCUCUCUCUAUAUUGUAGCAAAGGAAGCGGGUGCCAAACUUCUCUCUUCCGCCCUCUUGAUUGUCUCAUGGUGGAAGCCAAAUCGAUCGACUUCUGCCCUCAAAUCAAUCGAACAAAGGAUUAAUCUAAGAAAACCCUAACUGGUAUGUCCUCGAUUUUGAACUCUUGCAAUAUUUUGCCUUUCUGAUUGGUGUAUAUAUGGUGUCUCAAGCCCAACUGAAUCAUACUGGCAAUAUCUCCUGCCAACCAAGAUAUAGCGACAUCAGAUGCUAUCAAGUUUGCUAAGGAAGUGGAUCCAGCUGGUAACCCUCCUUUAUUCCGGUGGUCCGUGAAUAUUUGGAUAAAAUCUAUCACAUAAGUAUCAUGUUUGCUUUUCCUUACGGUUUUCUGUAACAAUAUGUGCAUGUGAACGGAUAUUUGGAGUAUUGACAAAGCUUGAUUUGAUGGAUAAAGGAACUAACGCAUUAGAUGUACUCUCACCACUCUAAUUCUCUCUCCCCUCCUCUCUAUUACAAAAUUAUCUUAUUGUAGUAGGUGUAAAUUGUUAGUUUUUUGGCAUUUUGGAUUCUAAAGUUCUUUUUCUGAAAGGUUUUUGAAGGAAGAGCUUUACGUUUACAACACCCAUGGGUGGGAAUUGUGAACCGCUCACAAGCUGAUAUAAAUAAGAAUACUGACAUGAUGUCUGGAAGAAGGAGAGAACGGGAAUACUUUGCUUUAAGUCCUGACUAUGGGCAUUUGGCUAGUAAAAUGGGUUCAGAGUAUCUGGCGAAACUUCUUUUGAUGGUGGGAUUCUAUUUGUUAUUUAUCUGACGUGUUUAUCUCAGUUAGAACCUUGAUUUUUUUAAUGAUUUGUACUUUUAACUUCAGCAUUUGGAGGCUGUCAUUAAGGCAAGAAUACCAAGUAUUACUUCCUUGAUUAACAAAAGCAUUGAUGAACUUGAAGCUGAGAUGGACUACCUUGUGCAUUCUUUGUCUCAUUUUUUUUGCAUUCAUGCUGGUAAGGUAGUGCAAGUCUGUUAAUUUAUUAGUUUCGAUGUUCUAACCAACUGCAGUUUCAAAUAUAAUUGGGUUUUAGAAUGCGAAUUGAGCUGUAAAAUGCAUCUCUGUUUGUACAGUGUAGAGUUGUUUUAUGAUGCUUUUAGAGUAUCCAAUUUGAGCCAUGGGGGUGAAGGUUUUUGAUUGUGAUUUUUUUUUAAGGAAUAUAUAGUCUGUGCUCAUGUUUUUGUCUAUCAAUUAUUCUUGCUGCUUUUAUGAUAUUAGUUUUGGUUUUACUUCAAUUUCUGCAAAUUUGUGUAAAGUGUGAGAAACUAGAGAACACAAUGGCUUAAAAUUCGGGGUUGGCUCUUUUUACUUACUUGCUGUGCUACCAUACAAAUAUGGUCAUUUUUCAAAUUGAGCAAAAGUUGGGACAUCUCAUUCACCUAUGUCCCAGUCGCUCUCUUAACUUUACUUGCUGCAGCUUCAGCUUUGAAACAUUCUGUUUAGGAUUAUAGUGAGUGUGAGUGUGUUUGUGUGUGUGCAUGUGCUCUAUGUAGUUAUGAGUGAACUAGAAAUUGUCGAGCGAAAGCAUUGAUUAAUUAUAUAGAUGUAGUAGCUGAGAGGGGGUUCCAGAUGCUAAAUCUGCAAGUGUAGACACUGCUGAUUAUAAUGUCUCAUCAGGUCUUAUAAUGAGUCCAUAUUUUGCAGGGGUUCUCUUAAAAUUAGUUCAUAUUUGCAAUUUUGUUGCAGGUUCUCGAGUUGAAAACUGAAUUCUGCUGUAUUUUCUGUCGAGGCAAAUGGCAUUUUCUUUGUAAUUUUCACGUGUUCGAUUGAAAAAUGAGACUUUCAUGCCUGGUUUAGUUCAUUGGAUACUCAAAACUCCAGUACAUACUUAUGGGAAUGAUUUACUGUAACACGUUUAAGUACUAUGCUUCAGUUAAUACAUGGCAGGUGAUACAUAUUAGACUUGUGUUUUGCUAUUAUGCUCAAUUGCUAGUCUUUUGUGUGUUAUUUUGGGGGUUCUAGACUGAGAUUAAUGCUCAACUUUUUACAGAUAAUUAUGUAUCUUUGACUUUCUUGCAAGAUAUGAUCUUUUUUCUGUUGCUUCUUUAUGGUCCUCUUCCCUGGGUGCCUAUAGGGGCAUAUCUGAGUUUGAUUUUUGUAGAGUUUGGAGAGCUAUCUCUGAAUGCAUUUAUUUUAUUUCCACUGGUUAUAGAGUUUGGCUUUGUGCUCAACUUUUUACACAAAACUAUUUAUCUUUCUCUUUCUUGCAUCUUUUAUCUAUUGCUUCUUAAUGGAUCUCUGCUGUGGGUGUGUAUAGGGGUAUUUCUGUGUUUAUCUUUGUAGAGAUUGGAGAGUUGUCCUAUUUUGAUAUAUUUAUAGAUUUUUUGGAUUCCUUUGCCCCACCAUGCUUGUAUUAUCUGUUUUCAUUUAAUAAAGUUUUUCUAUCUUAAAAAAAUAUACAGUUGUCAUGAUCUACUGUUUACUUUGUACACCAAUAAUUUUGAUGGAUUGAAACUGUAACAAGUGUUUAUUAUAUCAUUUGCCUAUACAAUUGUUGUACACUUAAACUGAAGAUUUCUUCAUAGCAUGGCAUUAUUAUUUAUCAUUUAUUUUGAUGGUUUAAGGUUAACUGUCACUAUCAUUCUUUUUAUUUUUAUUGUGCAACUUAUAAUAUCAGCAUAUUGUCAGUCUUAGGGUGGAACUUCUGUCAGUGAAAAAUUACCUUUAAUUAACUUCUGAAUUGGUAGGAAAAAGAAAAUUUUAAGUUCAUAAUUUGGAAGAGUAUUUUGUUGUAUCAGUAAUGAGUAAUCUUCUACGACACAUUCUUCAAUUCACUAUUUGCGGAUAAUUUGUUUUAAAGUAAAUUUACUUUUGACUACUGGUGGGAUGUCCAUGAUGCACAUGGUGCCAUGUGCGUCUUGGGCCUGGGUUGUAGAGAAGGACUGCAGGCAGCUAGGGCAGCUGAUUAUAGCAUUGGAAGUAAGAUCUCUAAUGUCUUCUAUUUCUGUUUAUCAAAGUAUAUAUACUCUUCUUUUUCUUCCUGUAAAUCUUUGAUAGUCUUUCUGUAUAUAUAGUCUUCUGUUGUUAUGUAACUUGCAUUGCAUCGUAUAAAGAAUUUACUAGCCGUAAGAGCAGUGAUUUGUUCUAGAAUAAAGCUGGCUAUUUGGUGUUUAUAUUGAAGUCAUUUCACAGUUUCAAACACAGGUAGCUAAAAUAAAAAGUGAUGAGAGGGAGGAUCUAAAGGUGCUUGCCACAGGUGUUGCUGCGGCUUUGGCUGCAAGAAAGGUAAAUUGUAAAAGUUAAAAGUUGAGACUAUAUACUCAUCAAGGGAAAGAAAUAGCUAUUGUUGUUCUUAUGUAAUGACUUGAGAUGUGUUAUCCAAUGUUCCUUCUUCUAUCUUUACAUGUUCAACUGCUUAUUAUUUCAUUGUUACAAUAUUUUGAUGUGUUUCCUAUAUUUGUAGGCAUCAUGGAUUACAGAAGAAGAAUUUUGUAGUAGUGUAUGUAUACAUAAGCAUGUGUCUGAAUGUUCAUUUUCUUAUGAGUGAUGAUAGUCUUGUGAGUUUAUUCUGUCAUAGCUCAUAUCAUCUCUGCAUCAUUGAGGCCUUGAGAUUCUUCUGUUGAAAGCAUGAGCUUUAGCUUUAGGUGGGUAUUUUUCUGUACUCAAUAAAAGUUUCCCUUUUAUGGAAAUGGGAUCUACUUUUUUACAUUUUAUCAUGCCCCAACUGUGACGCCCCCAAAACAGGUAUACAUCACCCAUCUUGGGUCGCCACUUAUAUUGUACAAAAUUCAAAUACAACUUAAUUAUACAAACGUCGUGUAAUAAACGACAAAACAUAUGCUAUUAGUUUUAAUACAAAUAUUGUCAUCUAGACAAUAUCCUCACUCAAUAGAGUCCUCAUUACAUUUAUUAUCACACUAUUUAACAGAAUGGUGAGGACUACUAAUGCUAUCAUCUGGACCGUCACUCCGUUCCCUGACUCGUCCCAGCUAUAUUCUCAUUUCUUGAAGAGAAUAGUGAAAGAAAGGGUGAGCUCAACUAGCCCAGUAAGAAAUAUUAUGACUAAGAUAAUGCAGAAUAAAUUAUCCUUAACCUUCAACAGUAUAACAACUAACAGAAUAUAAUAGACAACAAGUUUUAGAUCAACAACUGCAGUGGAAUAAUCAAUCCAUUAGAAGAGUUAAGUAGAGCAUAAAAUUUACUAUCUUCUAUGAUUUAAAAAGAUUUUCAUCAACUUUAUCGCUGAAACUCAGCUUAAUAAAUAAAUCAAAUCAUCCCUGCACCACGACCAAGGAUAUUCAUGUAAUCAUCAAUGGUCAUGAUUAUACCGAAUAAUCCCUGGUCAUAAUCAUACCAACAAUUGUCCAUCAAUGAACUACAGUCCAAUAAGAACUUUUACCACAUCAUUCGUUAUAUUAUGGUCAUAAUUAUACCAAAUAAUCCCUGAUCAUAAUUAUACCAAGUCCAUCUCUGCACGUAAGCCAAAGAUGACUUUCAUCACAAUAUAAGCACGAGGAUGAUGACAAUAAUAUAUGCAUUAAUCAAACGAAAAUAAG
Molecule: long non-coding RNA, 11603 nt
Filed under: Panax ginseng (ginseng)
Lineage: Eukaryota; Viridiplantae; Streptophyta; Magnoliopsida; Apiales; Araliaceae
Description: long non-coding RNA (PGIN_LNC017195)
Source: RNAcentral